This 492-nucleotide ribosomal RNA is filed under the name uncultured bacterium. RNAcentral's name for it is "partial 16S ribosomal RNA". It matches the Rfam family "Bacterial small subunit ribosomal RNA", at positions 29 to 507 of the family's 1533-position model. The record is from RNAcentral.
AGUGAACGCUGGCGGUAGGCCUAACACAUGCAAGUCGAACGGCAGCACAGUAAGAGCUUGCUCUUACGGGUGGCGAGUGGCGGACGGGUGAGGAAUACAUUGGAAUCUACUUUUUCGUGGGGGAUAACGUAGGGAAACUUACGCUAAUACCGCAUACGACCUACGGGUGAAAGCAGGGGAUCUUCGGACCUUGCGCGAUUGAAUGAACCGAUGUCGGAUUAGCUAGUUGGCGGGGUAAAGGCCCACCAAGGCGACGAUCCGUAGCUGGUCUGAGAGGAUGAUCAGCCACACUGGAACUGAGACACGGUCCAGACUCCUACGGGAGGCAGCAGUGGGGAAUAUUGGACAAUGGGCGCAAGCCUGAUCCAGCCAUACCGCGUGGGUGAAGAAGGCCUUCGGGUUGUAAAGCCCUUUUGUUGGGAAAGAAAAGCAGCAGGUUAAUACCCCGCUGUUCUGACGGUACCCAAAGAAUAAGCACCGGCUAACUUCGUG